AUAUGAUGUGAUGUGAAUGGACGAAUGACGUGAAUGACUGCGAAUGCUUUGAACGACACAUGUGCGACCCCUUGGUAUGCCCGAGGGGCAUGCCUGUUCGAGCGUUGCA
RNAcentral lists this ribosomal RNA (109 nucleotides) under uncultured fungus. RNAcentral's name for it is "partial 5.8S ribosomal RNA". The record is from RNAcentral. Lineage: Eukaryota; Fungi.